Molecule: long non-coding RNA, 258 nt
Filed under: Homo sapiens (human)
Lineage: Eukaryota; Metazoa; Chordata; Mammalia; Primates; Hominidae
Description: non-protein coding lnc-AGAP5-1:8
Source: RNAcentral
AAUCCGACCUGAGGAGUCACAGUUGUGAGCAAGUUCGGUGCCGCGGGCUGGGGUAGGCGGCAGUGGGGUCCCUGGCUUUGGGGCACUGGGAAGAUCGCGAGUGGGAAGGUCCUCCCGCGGUCCUCCGGGUCAUCUUUCCUCCUGAGGAGCAGCAUAUUUCGCAUCUGCCGGAGAUUAGAAUUACUUGUUAUUGGUAAAUAGCCACUAUGGAGACUAAGGACCAGAAGAAACAAAGAAAGAAAAAUAGUGGACCCAAAG